RNAcentral lists this transfer RNA (74 nucleotides) under Mycobacterium kiyosense. Its description in RNAcentral is "tRNA-Asn". It matches the Rfam family "tRNA". Rfam says of the family: Transfer RNA (tRNA) molecules are approximately 80 nucleotides in length. Lineage: Bacteria; Bacillati; Actinomycetota; Actinomycetes; Mycobacteriales; Mycobacteriaceae. The record is from RNAcentral.
UCCCCUGUAGCUCAACUGGCAGAGCAUUCGGCUGUUAACUGAAGGGUUGAAGGUUCGAGUCCUUCCGGGGGAGC